UUAGCCAGAGGAGAAAAGGAGGAUGGAUUUUGUCUUUCCCCCCUCAUCCCUCUCUGACUAGA
This 62-nucleotide microRNA precursor is filed under the name Monodelphis domestica (gray short-tailed opossum). Its description in RNAcentral is "microRNA mdo-mir-12334 precursor". The record is from miRBase by way of RNAcentral. Lineage: Eukaryota; Metazoa; Chordata; Mammalia; Didelphimorphia; Didelphidae.